Molecule: ribosomal RNA, 253 nt
Filed under: uncultured bacterium
Lineage: Bacteria
Description: partial 16S ribosomal RNA
Rfam family: Bacterial small subunit ribosomal RNA
Source: RNAcentral
UACGGAGGGUGCAAGCGUUGUCCGGAUUUAUUGGGUUUAAAGGGUGCGUAGGUGGCCCGUUAAGUCCGGGGUGAAAGCCCACUGCUCAACAGUGGAACUGCCCUGGAUACUGGAUGGCUUGAGUACAGACGAGGUUGGCGGAAUGGACUGAGUAGCGGUGAAAUGCAUAGAUACAGUCCAGAACCCCGAUUGCGAAGGCAGCUGACUAGGCUGUUACUGACGCUGAGGCACGAAAGCGUGGGGAGCGAACAGG